Molecule: ribosomal RNA, 1348 nt
Filed under: Malassezia furfur
Lineage: Eukaryota; Fungi; Basidiomycota; Malasseziomycetes; Malasseziales; Malasseziaceae
Description: SSU rRNA
Rfam family: Bacterial small subunit ribosomal RNA
Source: RNAcentral
UGUUUAAUCUUAGCAGUGUUCUAACUUUUUAUGGUAGUUUUACUCAUGCGAGUUCUAUUUAUUUUUGUAGUUUUCUACAUGAAUAAUAGGGCGUGCAGGCGAGGAAUAUAAAGAAUAGAUACCUAAUUUUUAUUAGAUUCAUUCUUUAUUCUGUAGGUAGUUGUUGUGGUAAAGGCGCAACAAGCCGUUGACAGAUAGAAAAGAGCGAAAGCUUCUAUUUCCGCAAUUGGUUUUAAUAGACCGAUCGGUCAGUUUUCUGACUGCUGCAGAGGAGAAUCUUGGGCAAUGUUCGCAAGAAUGACCCAGCUAACCAUAACCCUGUGAAGCUAGCAAUAGCUAAGGGUGUCGUAAGGGAGGAUGAUGACGUUACCUUACUAAUAGUCCAAUCUAAGUCUCGUGCCAGCAGACGCGGUUAUACGAACUGGGCAAAAGUUGAAUAAAUUAAUAGGUUUUAAGGAUCUGUAGGCUGUUGUUAUAUAUAAUGAACAACUUGAAUUCUAUAGAGGAAAAUAGAAUGCUAGAAGUAGGGAUGAUAUCCGUUGAGAUCUAGUGGAAUACUAAUGGCGAAAGCAAUUUUCCAAGUAAGAAUUGACGCUGAGAGAUGAAAGUUUGGAUAGCGAACCAGAUUAGCUACCUGAGUAGUCCAAACCGUAAACUAUUUACACUAAUUCUUUGGUUAGGUAUAUAAAUACUAUUUAUAAUCAGAGAAAAAGCAAAAGGCUGUAUGUGUAACACCUUGUUAGUAAUGUCUCAAGACUGAAAGCAAAAAGAUUAGACCAUCCUUAAGAACCGGUGUGGAGCAUGUUGUUUAAUACGACAAUACGCGUAGAACCUUACCUCUCCUUGUAUGUUUUGAAUAGAUAGAUUCUGUCUUUCUAUUCAUUUCACAGGUGUUGCAUGGCUGUCGGCAGUUCGUGUCGUAAGAUGUUAGGUUGAGUCCGCCAACGAACGCAAUCCAUAGUAUAUAUUAUCUUCUAUAUACUAUCUCUUCGAUAAGAAGGAUCAAAAUGGAAUACGAUAAGCCCUCAUGACCCUUAUGGAGUAUGGGCUACAGACGUGCUACUUGAAUCUUACAAUAAGAUGCAAAAUCAUAAGAUUUAGCAAAUCUAUUAAAUAAGAUCUAAUAAGGAUUGUAGACUGAAACUCGUCUACAUGAAUCAGGAAUACCGAGUAAUCGUUUAUCAGUACGGAACGGUGAACCAUUCUAUUAAGGAGAUACUAACUGUCUAUCGCAUCUCGGUUAUGUUUAGAAAUGGAACUAAGUAGGUUACUACUUAGGACAUAAUAAAUGGAACUGAGGUGAAGUUAUAGCAAGGUAGCCGUAAGGGAACUUGUGGCUGAUUGAUAA